RNAcentral lists this ribosomal RNA (415 nucleotides) under uncultured archaeon. Its description in RNAcentral is "partial 16S ribosomal RNA". It matches the Rfam family "Archaeal small subunit ribosomal RNA", at positions 330 to 747 of the family's 1478-position model. The record is from RNAcentral.
GUGCAGCAGGCGCGAAAACUCCGCAAUGCGCGAAAGCGUGACGGGGUCACCCCGAGUGCCGUCCGCUGAGGAUGGCUUUUGCCUGGUCUAACCAGCCGGGUGAAUAAGGGGAGGGCAAGUCUGGUGUCAGCCGCCGCGGUAAUACCAGCUCCCCGAGUGGUUGGGACGAUUAUUGGGUCUGAAGCGUCCGUAGCCGGCCGGAAAAGUUCCCCGUUAAAUCUGGCGAUCCAAUCGUUGGGCUGCGGGGAAUACUCUUCGGCUUGGGGGCGAGGGAGGUCGGCGGUAGUCCCGGGGUAGCGGCGAAAUGCUAUAAUCCUAGGAGGACCACCGAUGGCGAAGGCACUCAACUAGAACAAGCCCGACGGUGAGGGACGAGAGCUAGGGGAGCAAACCGGAUUAGAUACCCGGGUAGUCC